UACGUAGGGUGCAAGCGUUAAUCGGAAUUACUGGGCGUAAAGCGUGCGCAGGCGGUUCGCUAAGACAGAUGUGAAAUCCCCGGGCUUAACCUGGGAACUGCAUUUGUGACUGGCGGGCUAGAGUAUGGCAGAGGGGGGUAGAAUCCACGUGUAGCAGUGAAAUGCGUAGAGAUGUGGAGGAAUACCGAUGGCGAAGGCAGCCCCCUGGGCCAAUACUGACGCUCAUGCACGAAAGCGUGGGGAGCAAACAGG
Molecule: ribosomal RNA, 252 nt
Filed under: uncultured bacterium
Lineage: Bacteria
Description: partial 16S ribosomal RNA
Rfam family: Bacterial small subunit ribosomal RNA
Source: RNAcentral